Podarcis lilfordi (Lilford's wall lizard) is the source of this 1786-nucleotide non-coding RNA. NCBI's taxonomy places the organism in Eukaryota, Metazoa, Chordata, Lepidosauria, Squamata, Lacertidae. The record is from the annotation of a GenBank genome assembly.
CUGAUGGAACUGCAGAGGGGAUGAACAGAAUACAAUGCAAAUGGACCCUAGUUAAUUGUUCUGCUUUGGAUUCUCCAUCUCAACAAAUGAAGAGAUUGUCCACUAUUAGGCAAUCCUAGCAUCUUUCCUGUAUCCUUUCUAAGAUGCAUUUGAAUAUUCUGUGUGAUUUAGUCAGAAAUAUUAAGGCUGUGCUGCAACCACAAGAUUAAUCUUCUAUACGUAGCAUUUGGAAACAGCCCAAUCCGUGUCAGGCCUACUGUGUGAUGCUCUGAUUUUAUUUGUUAUUUGGGUCCAAAUAUGAUAAGUUAAAUAAAAAGUUCUGUUUUGCCCUCAUUGACUAUAAUGAGGAAUCUAAAAAAUAAACUUUGCUGGAAUUUGCUGUCAAGGCAGUCUUUCUAGAGGAGAUUAAGCCUGCCUGCUAAAUUCCAGCCGGAUUUAUCAAGGGUUUUUUUUGUUUGUGCAGGAAACUUUCAAAGUGUGUUUGUUGUUGUUUUGCUCGAAUUUGAUGCUAAUUGCAGGCAUAGCCAACCCUUCUGAGGAGAUGAAGCCUCUUAUACUUUGGAAAGAUAGAUACCGGUAGAUCUCCCUCAAUGACAAACUUUACCAUGGGGGGGGGGUGAAGGGGUGGCCAUAGGACAUGCUGAAUUUUUAAACUCUCAAAUUCCAAAAAUGUUGGGUUCUAAAAAGUGGUAACAUGACUUGGGAACUCAAAAGCUAUUUUGGUUAAAUUAAUAUGAAUUUGUUUUGCUUGCUAAAUGAAAUGUGUGUAAAAUUGCAUAGAAAUCAUCAAAAAUGAUUGCCAAGUACUUGCAAUUUUAUUAUGUAUUAUUUCAUAUUAUUAUUAUUAUUAUUAUUAUUAUUAUUUAGAAUCUCCUGAUAUUUUCAGAAGAUAAACUUAAAAUUCUUUGGUUUUCCUAAAGCAGUUUAUGUGCUUCUUCAUCAGACGUAGACUUACAAAGCUACAUGUUGUCCAAUCACAAAAACAAUAGCAGAUUUGAAUUCCUCACACCCCAAAACAUAUUUUUAAGACCCCCCCCCACUGAAUAAAUUAGCAAAAAUUAAGUUUUGCUCCUGAAAAUGACAUGCCCUAGUGGGGCAGUGAGCAUUCUGUGUGAUGCUCUGUCAGUAUGUUGAACACAACAUCCAGCAACAUGCUACCAUGUUAUUCCCUGUGAGCAGCAGGGGCUGGGAAAUCAAAACGAGUAAGGCUGACUAAACAUUGUUGCAGAAGGAUGGCAGGCAGAAUUGCCAUUGCUGACAACAUCCCCAUGUGAAAUCUAGAUCCUCUAAUAAGAGCUUGAGGCCUAAUCUGUAGAGCCAUACUGAAAAUAGAAUACAUAUAUAUAUUCCCAUAGCCUAUUUUACUCCUGGAAAUGUUGCAGACACCUUGGCUCCACAUGCUUUUUUAUUUUUGAUGAUUUUUUGUCUGGCAGCAUUAAGUAUAUAGCACACAGUGCUGAGUCUGAGUGAAUUUCAAAACGGUGUGCUUCCAAGGGCACAGCUUUUUGAGCUCCAGUUCUGGAGAUGAGUAUACUCUGUGGGCUGUUUCACACAUGAUGUAUUUUUAAACAAAGAUAAUAUAACUGCAGAACAGUUUCCUGGAUGCAGCCACAUCUAACCUUAGCUAGAUCCCAGGUCCAGAUGAAUGGUGUGGGAAACUCAACAAAAUGGAUUCAAAGAAGAUCCCAGCCUAGCACUCUACUUCGACAGUGGACUCCCUUGGAAGGUGGAGGCCUCUCCUUCAUUGGAGACUUUUAAGCAGAAGUUUGUGGAAUCGUAGAGUUGG